RNAcentral lists this ribosomal RNA (538 nucleotides) under Arthrobacter pascens. Its description in RNAcentral is "bacterial SSU rRNA". It matches the Rfam family "Bacterial small subunit ribosomal RNA", at positions 74 to 626 of the family's 1533-position model. Lineage: Bacteria; Bacillati; Actinomycetota; Actinomycetes; Micrococcales; Micrococcaceae. The record is from RNAcentral.
CCUCACUUGUGGGGGGAUUAGUGGCGAACGGGUGAGUAACACGUGAGUAACCUGCCCUUAACUCUGGGAUAAGCCUGGGAAACUGGGUCUAAUACCGGAUAUGACUCCUCAUCGCAUGGUGGGGGGUGGAAAGCUUUUUGUGGUUUUGGAUGGACUCGCGGCCUAUCAGCUUGUUGGUGAGGUAAUGGCUCACCAAGGCGACGACGGGUAGCCGGCCUGAGAGGGUGACCGGCCACACUGGGACUGAGACACGGCCCAGACUCCUACGGGAGGCAGCAGUGGGGAAUAUUGCACAAUGGGCGAAAGCCUGAUGCAGCGACGCCGCGUGAGGGAUGACGGCCUUCGGGUUGUAAACCUCUUUCAGUAGGGAAGAAGCGAAAGUGACGGUACCUGCAGAAGAAGCGCCGGCUAACUACGUGCCAGCAGCCGCGGUAAUACGUAGGGCGCAAGCGUUAUCCGGAAUUAUUGGGCGUAAAGAGCUCGUAGGCGGUUUGUCGCGUCUGCCGUGAAAGUCCGGGGCUCAACUCCGGAUCUGCGG